CCUACGGGAGGCAGCAGUGGGGAAUAUUGGACAAUGGGCGAAAGCCUGAUCCAGCCAUGCCGCGUGUGUGAAGAAGGUCUUCGGAUUGUAAAGCACUUUAAGUUGGGAGGAAGGGUUGUAGAUUAAUACUCUGCAAUUUUGACGUUACCGACAGAAUAAGCACCGGCUAACUCUGUGCCAGCAGGCGCGGUAAU
RNAcentral lists this ribosomal RNA (194 nucleotides) under uncultured bacterium. RNAcentral's name for it is "partial 16S ribosomal RNA". It matches the Rfam family "Bacterial small subunit ribosomal RNA", at positions 338 to 524 of the family's 1533-position model. The record is from RNAcentral.